Molecule: long non-coding RNA, 3192 nt
Filed under: Sus scrofa (pig)
Lineage: Eukaryota; Metazoa; Chordata; Mammalia; Artiodactyla; Suidae
Description: lncRNA (ENSSSCG00060048736.1)
Source: RNAcentral
UCUGGUUUUGGUAUCAUGGUGAUGGUGGCCUCAUAGAAUGAGUUUGGGAGUGUCCCUUCUGUGAUUUUUUGAAAUAGUUUCAGAAGGAGAGAUGUUAGGUCUUCUCUAAAUGUUUGAUAGAACUCUCCUAUGAUGCCAUCUGAUCCUGAACUUUUGUUUGUUGCAAGUUUUUUAAUCACAGUUUCAACCUCAGUACUUGUGAUAGGUCCAUUCAUCUUUUCUAUUUCAUCUUGGUUUAGUCUUGGAAGAUUGUACUUUUCCAAGAAUUUGGCCAUUUCUUCUAGGUUGUCUGUUUUAUUGGUGUAUAGUUGCAUGUAGUAGUCUCUUAUGAUCCUUUUAUUUCUGUGAUGUCCAUUGUAACUUUUCCCUUUCAUUUCUAAUUUUAUUGAUUUGUGUCCUCUCUCUUUUUUUCUUGAUAAGUCUGGCCAAGGAUUUAUCAAUUUUGUUGAUCUUUUCAAAGAACCACUUUUCGUUUCAUUGAUCUUUUCUAUGGUUUUCUUUGUUUCUAUUUCAUUUAUUUCUGCUCUGAUCUUUAUGAUUCCUUUCCUUCUACUAACUUUAGGUCUUGUCUGUUCUUCUCUCUAGCUGAUUUAGAUGUAAGGUUAGGUUGUUUGAGCUUUUUCUUGUUUCCUGAGGUAGGCUUGUAUUGCUACAAACUUUCCUCUUAGAACUGCUUUUGCUGCAUCCCAUAGGUAUUAGAGUGUCGUAUCUUUGUUGUCAUAUACUUCUAGGUAUAUUUUAAUUUCCUCUUUGAUUUCUUCAGAGAUCUAUUGGUUGUUUAGUAGCAUGUUGUUUAGUCUCCACGUGUUUGUGUUUUUUGCAGAUUUUUUCUUGUUGUUGAUUUCCAGUCAUAUAGCGUUGUGGUCAGAAAAGAUGCUUGAUAUGAUUUCAAUUUCCUUAAAGUUACUGAGGCUUAAAUCAUGGUCCAGAAUGUGAUAAAUCUUAGAGAAGGUUCUGUGUGCCUUGGGAAGAAUGUGUGUUUUGGAUGGAAUGUCCUAUAAAUAUCUAUUAAGUCCAUCUGGUUUAAUGCUUCAUUCAGGGCCUGUGUUUCCUUGUUGAUUUUCUGCCUGGAUGAUCUGUCCAUUGCUGUAAGUGGGGUGUUAAAGUCUCCCACUAUAAUUGUGUUAUUGUCAAUUUGUCCUUUUAAGGUUGUUAGCAGUUGCCUUAUAUAUUGUGGUGAUCACAUGUUGGGGGCAUAGAUAUUUAAAAUUGUUAUAUCUUCUCUUUGGAUUGAUCCUUUGGUCAUUAUGUAAUGUCCUUCUUUAUCUCUUAAAGUAUUCUUUAUUUUAAGGUCUAUUUUGUCUGAUAUGAGUAUUGCUACUCCAGCUUUCUUUUGAUUCCCAUUUGCAUGAAAUAUUUUCUUCCAUCCUCUCACUUUCAAUUUGUAUGUGUCCUUAGAAGUGAAGUGGGUCUCUUGAAGACAGCAUAUAUAUAGAUCUUGUUUUUGUAUGCAUUCAGCCAGUCUAUGUCUUUUGGUUGGGGCAUUUAUUCCAUUCACAUUUAAGGUAAUUAUUGAUAUGUAUGUUCUUAUUGCCAUUUUAUUAAUUGCUUUGGAUUUGUUUUUGUUGCUCUUUUUUCUUCCCUUCUUCUCUUGUUCUCUCCUCUUCUGGUGUGAUGACUAUCUUUAGUGUUGUAUUUGAGUUGAUUUUUCUUAUUUGUUUGUGUAUCAGUUGUAGAUUUUUGGUUUGCCAUUACUCUGAAGUUUUGAUAUGAGAGUCUAUAUAUAUAUAUGAGAUUGUUUUAAGUUUGUGGUCUCUUAUUUGCAAGUGCAUCUCCAGUGUCCUGCAUUCGUACCCUCGUCUUAUCAUGAUUUCUGGUUUUGGUAGCAUAAUUGUGCAUAGGUUAUUUCAUUUCUUUGCUGUAUAUAUACCUUUACUGGUGAGCCUUGUCAUUUGUGGUAUUUUUGUUUCUGGUUGUGGCCUUUUCUUUUCCACCUAGAGAAGUUCCUCUCGUAUUUGUUGUAAAGCUGGUUUAGUGGUGUUGAAUUCUUUUAGCUUUUGCUUAUCUGUAAAGCUUUUGAUUUCUCCUUCAAAUCUGAAUGAGAGCCUUGCUGGGUAGAAUAAUCUUAGUUGGAGGUUUUUUCCUUUCAUCACAUUAAGUAUAUCAUGCCACUCCCUUCUGGCCUGCAGAGUUUCUGCUGAAAAAUCUGCUGAUAACCUUAUCAGGGUUCCCUUGUAUGUUAUUUGUUGCUUUUCCCUAGCUGCUGUCAAUAUUUUUUCUUUGUCUUUAAUUUUGUUCAGUUUGAUUAAUGUGUGUCUCAGGGUGUUCCUCCUUGGGUUUAUUUUAUAUGGUACUCGUUGUGCUUCCUGGAUUUGAGUGAGUGGUUCCUUUCCCAUGUUAGGGAAGUUUUUGUCUAUUAUCUCUUGGAAUAUUUUUUUCUGUCCCCUUUUCUCUCUCUUCUCCUUCUGGCACCCCAUUAAUAAUGGAUGUUGGUGCAUUUAAUGUUGUCCCAGAGUUCUCUGAGACUCUCUUCAAUGGUUUUCAAUCUUUUUUCUCUUUUCUGUUCCGCAUCUGUAAUUUCCACUAAUAUGUCCUCCACCUCGCUUACUUGUUGUUCUGCCUCCUGUGAUCUGCUGUUGGCUGCUUCUAAUGAAUUUUUUAUUUCAGUUAUUGUAUUUUGCAUCUCUUCUUGUUUAAGUUUUAUAUCUCGUAUCUCUUUGCUCAGUGUUUCCUGUAAGUUAUCCCUCUUUGCUGCCAGUUUAUUUCCAAAGUCUUGCAUCAUCUUCAGCAUCAACAGUCUAAAGUCUUUUUCCUGGAGGCUGAGAAUCUCCUGAUCACUUAGAUAUUUUUCUGGAUUUUUUUUCUUUCUCCUUCAUCUGAGUUAUAGUUCUGUCUUUUCAUUUUAAGUUUUUGGUGUGGUGACCUUUUUAUAGAUAAUAGAGUUGUAUCCUCUCUUACUUCUGGUGUCUGCCCCCCCUUGUGCUUCAGCUGGUAUGGGGGCUUGCUGUAGGCUUUUUGAUGGGAGGGACUGAUGCCCACCCACUAGUAUGUGGAGCUGAUUCUAAUUCCUCUGGUGGGUGGUGCUUUGUCUCUGGGUGAGAUUAGAGGCAGCUGUGUGCCUGGGGGUUCUUUAGGCAGCCUGUUUACUGAGGGGUGGGGCUGUGAUCCCACCUGGAUUGUUGUUUGCCCUGGGGCUUUUCAGUGCUGAUGGGUGGGGCCAGAUUUUCCCAAAAUGGCCACCUCCAGAGAAAG